RNAcentral lists this ribosomal RNA (253 nucleotides) under uncultured bacterium. RNAcentral's name for it is "partial 16S ribosomal RNA". It matches the Rfam family "Bacterial small subunit ribosomal RNA", at positions 524 to 776 of the family's 1533-position model. The record is from RNAcentral.
UACGUAGGGUGCAAGCGUUGUCCGGAAUUAUUGGGCGUAAAGAGCUCGUAGGCGGUCUGUCGCGUCUGCUGUGAAAACGCGAGGCUCAACCUCGCGCCUGCAGUGGGUACGGGCAGACUAGAGUGCGGUAGGGGAGAUUGGAAUUCCUGGUGUAGCGGUGGAAUGCGCAGAUAUCAGGAGGAACACCGAUGGCGAAGGCAGAUCUCUGGGACGGUACUGACGCUGAGACGCGAAAGCGUGGGGAGCGAACAGG